Molecule: ribosomal RNA, 526 nt
Filed under: uncultured bacterium
Lineage: Bacteria
Description: bacterial SSU rRNA
Rfam family: Bacterial small subunit ribosomal RNA
Source: RNAcentral
CUGAGACACGGACCAGACUCCUACGGGAGGCAGCAGUGAGGAAUAUUGGUCAAUGGCCGGGAGGCUGAACCAGCCAAGUCGCGUGAGGGAAGACGGCCCUACGGGUUGUAAACCUCUUUUGUCAGGGAGCAAGAGGCGGGUCGAGACCUGCUGUGAGAGUACCUGAAGAAAAAGCAUCGGCUAACUCCGUGCCAGCAGCCGCGGUAAUACGGAGGAUGCGAGCGUUAUCCGGAUUUAUUGGGUUUAAAGGGUGCGCAGGCGGAGGCACAAGUCAGCGGUAAAAUCGCGGGGCUCAACCCCGCUCCGCCGUUGAAACUGUGUCCCUUGAGUGCGCGAAGGGUAGGCGGAAUGCGUGGUGUAGCGGUGAAAUGCAUAGAUAUCACGCAGAACUCCGAUCGCGAAGGCAGCCUACCGGCGCGCAACUGACGCUCAUGCACGAAAGCGUGGGUAUCGAACAGGAUUAGAUACCCUGGUAGUCCACGCAGUAAACGAUGAAUGCUAUCUGUCCGGCCGGAAUGACGGCUGG